GACGAACGCUGGCGGCGUGCUUAACACAUGCAAGUCGAACGGAAAGGCCCUGCUUUUGUGGGGUGCUCGAGUGGCGAACGGGUGAGUAACACGUGAGUAACCUGCCCUUGACUUUGGGAUAACUUCAGGAAACUGGGGCUAAUACCGGAUAGGAGCUCCUGCUGCAUGGUGGGGGUUGGAAAGUUUCGGCGGUUGGGGAUGGACUCGCGGCUUAUCCGCUUGUUGGUGGGGUAGUGGCUUACCAAGGCUUUGACGGGUAGCCGGCCUGAGAGGGUGACCGGCCACAUUGGGACUGAGAUACGGCCCAGACUCCUACGGGAGGCAGCAGUGGGGAAUAUUGCACAAUGGGCGGAAGCCUGAUGCAGCAACGCCGCGUGCGGGGUGACGGCCUUCGGGUUGUAAACCGCUUUCGCCUGUGACGAAGCGUGAGUGACGGUAAUGGGUAAAGAAGCACCGGCUAACUACGUG
RNAcentral lists this ribosomal RNA (468 nucleotides) under uncultured bacterium. RNAcentral describes it as "partial 16S ribosomal RNA". It matches the Rfam family "Bacterial small subunit ribosomal RNA", at positions 28 to 507 of the family's 1533-position model. The record is from RNAcentral.